CGUCAGCUCGUGUCGUAGGAUGUAGGUUUAAGUCCCGCAACGAGCACAACCCUUGAUUUUAGUAGCCAGCAUUUAGUUGGGCACUCUAAAGUGACUGCCGGUGCAAGCCGGAGGGAGGUGGGGAUGACGUCAAAUCAUCAUGCCCCUUAUGACCUGGGCUACACACGUGCUACAAUGGAUAGUACGAAGGGUCGCGAGGCCGCGAGGUGGAGCUAAUCCCAUAAAACUAUUCUCAGUUCGGAUUGUAGGCUGCAUCUCGCCUACAUGAAGCCGGAAUCGCUAGUAAUCGUGGAUCAGCAUGCCACGGUGAAUACGUUCCCGGGC
This 324-nucleotide ribosomal RNA is filed under the name Listeria monocytogenes. Its description in RNAcentral is "bacterial SSU rRNA". It matches the Rfam family "Bacterial small subunit ribosomal RNA", at positions 1053 to 1379 of the family's 1533-position model. Lineage: Bacteria; Bacillati; Bacillota; Bacilli; Caryophanales; Listeriaceae. The record is from RNAcentral.